UACCGACGGUCCAAACGUUAUUCGGAAUCACUGGGCUUAAAGAGUUCGUAGGCGGUCAGGAAAGUGGGGUGUGAAAGCCCUCGGCUUAACCGAGGAAUUGCGCUCCAAACUCCCUGACUUGAGGAGGCUAGAGGUAAGCGGAACUGAUGGUGGAGCGGUGAAAUGCGUUGAUAUCAUCAGGAACACCGGAGGCGAAGGCGGCUUACUGGGGCCUUUCUGACGCUGAGGAACGAAAGCUAGGGGAGCGAACGGG
This 253-nucleotide ribosomal RNA is filed under the name uncultured bacterium. RNAcentral describes it as "partial 16S ribosomal RNA". It matches the Rfam family "Bacterial small subunit ribosomal RNA", at positions 524 to 776 of the family's 1533-position model. The record is from RNAcentral.